Aethalodelphis obliquidens (Pacific white-sided dolphin) is the source of this 718-nucleotide long non-coding RNA. RefSeq lists it as uncharacterized. The record is from RefSeq and is a predicted model, not a curated record. NCBI's taxonomy places the organism in Eukaryota, Metazoa, Chordata, Mammalia, Artiodactyla, Delphinidae. The transcript is spliced from 2 exons.
ACAGAACAAAAACAGUGCUCGUGGGGACGAAGAGUGCACUUGUCCGGAGCUCCUCUCCUGGCUAAAGCCCCCCACCCCACCCCCAGGGUCACCCGGACCAGUGUUCCCACAUUAGCCACAGAUUCCACACUCAGCACCACACUGGGGGCGAGCCCACGUGGUCCCUGCCCGUGAAGCCAUCACCGCCUCGAUGGGGAGAUGCAGCUGACACAGCAUGCCUCCUCGCCUGAAGAGCUAGAAUAACUGGUGAGGACUACGUGAGCCCCAAGGUAGCCGUGUGCUCUGUAAACGCAACCACACGACGUUCCAGAAAUGGAGAGCACCACGAGCAUCUCAAACUCUUUGCAUUCUUAAGUUGAUCCAGCCCAUGACCCACCGCUCCACCACCACCUGCUACUUAGUGAGCAGGAAGACAUGCCACACACACGCCGCAGGCAAUGGACUGAGCCACACACUCUACCCAGUGGGCACAGUCCACGCUCUGCGGCUGCGCGCCCUGGGAGAAGGGGGCUGCGGCAGGGGCUUUCUGCCUCAGCUUUCUAAGUAAAGAGGCCUUGGAUGAGAUCAGCCACCUGCCUGGUCAUCCACCCAGGCCUGGUCCUGUCCAAGCCACCCUCUGGGGUGAGCCUGCCACCCCUUGGAGUACAGGUGGGAUUCGUAGCCCUACUCAGAAAACCCUCAACAGUCCCCCUGAAUAAAAGCAAAACUUUCUCAUGUU